AAUCAACGCUGGCGGCGUGCCUCAGACAUGCAAGUCGAACGAUUAAAGCUCUCUUCGGAGAGUGUAUAGAGUGGCGCACGGGUGAGUAACACGUAAGUAAUCUACCUUCGAGUGGGGAAUAACGUCCGGAAACGGACGCUAAUACCGCAUAAUGCAGCGGCAUCGCAAGAUGACAGUUGUUAAAGAUUUAUCGCUUGAAGAGGAGCUUGCGGCAGAUUAGCUAGUUGGUAAGGUAACGGCUUACCAAGGCUACGAUCUGUAUCCGGUCUAAGAGGACGGUCGGACACACUGACACUGAAUAACGGGUCAGACUCCUACGGGAGGCAGCAGUCGGGAAUUUUGGGCAAUGGGCGAAAGCCUGACCCAGCAACGCCGCGUGAAGGAUGAAGUAUUUCGGUAUGUAAACUUCGAAAGAAUAGGAAGAAUUAAUGACGGUACUAUUUAUAAGGUCCGGCUAACUACGUGCCAGC
This 470-nucleotide ribosomal RNA is filed under the name uncultured bacterium. RNAcentral's name for it is "bacterial SSU rRNA". It matches the Rfam family "Bacterial small subunit ribosomal RNA", at positions 32 to 512 of the family's 1533-position model. The record is from RNAcentral.